AAGGAUCAUUAUCGUACUACAGAGGUGCUCAGGUUGUCGCUGACCUUUUGGUCGUGCACGCCCGAGUGCUCUCAAUCCAUUUCACCCUUUGUGCAUCACCGCGCGGGGUCUCUUCCUCUUGGCUUGCUUCGAGAGGGGGAGGCUCGCGUUUUUCAUACAAACACCCUUCUAGUUUAGAAUGUCAUUCAUUUGCGAUCAUACGCAAUCAAUACAACUUUCAACAACGGAUCUCUUGGCUCUCGCAUCGAUGAAGAACGCAGCGAAAUGCGAUACGUAAUGUGAAUUGCAGAAUUCAGUGAAUCAUCGAAUCUUUGAACGCACCUUGCGCCCCUUGGUAUUCCGAGGGGCACACCCGUUUGAGUGUCGUGAAAUUCUCAAACCUUCUUGGUUUCUUGAUCAAGAUGGCUUUGGACUUUGGAGGCAUUUGCUGGCUUUGCGAAAAGCCAGCUCCUCUUGAAUGCAUUAGUGGGGUCCCCUUUGCCGAUCCCCAGGCGUGAUAAGAUGUUUCUACGUCUUGGGAUUUGCUCUGUUCCUUGGGAACCCGCUUCUAACCGUCUCAUGGAAGACAUCGUUCGAGCUUGCUCGACCCACGAACCUUGA
RNAcentral lists this ribosomal RNA (600 nucleotides) under Russula aff. acrifolia r-07018. RNAcentral's name for it is "eukaryotic LSU rRNA". The stretch from base 213 to 366 matches the Rfam family "5.8S ribosomal RNA". Lineage: Eukaryota; Fungi; Basidiomycota; Agaricomycetes; Russulales; Russulaceae. The record is from RNAcentral.